RNAcentral lists this ribosomal RNA (555 nucleotides) under uncultured bacterium. Its description in RNAcentral is "bacterial SSU rRNA". It matches the Rfam family "Bacterial small subunit ribosomal RNA", at positions 522 to 1075 of the family's 1533-position model. The record is from RNAcentral.
AAUACGUAGGGCGCGAGCGUUAUCCGGAAUUAUUGGGCGUAAAGAGCUCGUAGGCGGUUUGUCACGUCUGCUGUGAAAGCCCGAGGCUCAACCUCGGGUGUGCAGUGGGUACGGGCAGACUAGAGUGCAGUAGGGGAGACUGGAAUUCCUGGUGUAGCGGUGAAAUGCGCAGAUAUCAGGAGGAACACCGAUGGCGAAGGCAGGUCUCUGGGCUGCUACUGACGCUGAGGAGCGAAAGCAUGGGGAGCGAACAGGAUUAGAUACCCUGGUAGUCCAUGCCGUAAACGUUGGGCACUAGGUGUGGGGGACAUUCCACGUUUUCCGCGCCGUAGCUAACGCAUUAAGUGCCCCGCCUGGGGAGUACGGCCGCAAGGCUAAAACUCAAAGGAAUUGACGGGGGCCCGCACAAGCGGCGGAGCAUGCGGAUUAAUUCGAUGCAACGCGAAGAACCUUACCAAGGCUUGACAUGGACCGGAUCGCUGCAGAGAUGCAGUUUCCCUUCGGGGUCGGUUCACAGGUGGUGCAUGGUUGUCGUCAGCUCGUGUCGUGAGAUGU